Molecule: long non-coding RNA, 1386 nt
Organism: Sciurus carolinensis (gray squirrel)
Lineage: Eukaryota; Metazoa; Chordata; Mammalia; Rodentia; Sciuridae
Exons: 3
Source: RefSeq, a predicted model, not a curated record
AGGAAGGAAGGAGGGAAGGAAGGAAGGAAAGAAGAAAGUUCAGAAACCUGAGCAUAACCUCAGAAAUGUUGAGUCAGAAUCUCUGGCGUUGGGACUUGAGGAUUUAAUUUUUAAAAGCUCGCUUUGUGAUUCUUUUGGGUUAGUCAGGUUUGGGAACUGCUGACCCAGACUUGUAUUCCAAACCAGUGCAUUGUGUCACUGAUGCCACUAAUGCCUCAUGUGUCUUUGGUCUCUCACGAAUGCCUCACUCUACUUGAAGAACUAGAAAAAGGAAAUAAUGAGAUCCAUAAGGAAGUCUUAUAUGAGAAUCCUACCAUCCCUACUCACGAAGCCACCCGACUGCUUGUGUCUUACCUGCAAGAAGAGAAAACCAUAUUAAUCACCACACCAGGACCUGGAAAAGGCUGAAAACAGGUGAGAAAGCCGAUGGUGGAGUGAAUUGUCCAAGGACUGACAGAGAGAUCUGGAACUAGAACCCACACAGUUUGGUUCCUGGGACUCUGUUUUAUCCAAGAACCUUGCACAUAAUGGCCCCACUUUGUGCUCUCUGCUUCCUGCUCUUCUCAAACUAGAAAUGGCUUGCAAAAGUUCCAGAGUGAAAGGUCAGAGUGACUGGCCUGAGCCACCUCAGGGUGGCUUCUGCCUGGUGAAUGGCUGCUGUUCCUCCUGACCCCACAUAGCUGUGCCUCUCACUGGAAACCACUGCUGGGGUCCAGCCUGACCCCAGUGGCAGGGAAGGGAGGUGGCUGUUCCUGUUGGCUGUCUGAGCUGGGCAGUGGGCUGCUGGCCUAUUCCUGGGGCCUCCAGCAGACUUGUGAAGAGAUGCUGCCAAAAUGGAAGAGUCAAAACAGCCCCCGGAGGUGGGAGAGGAAGCAUUUAGAGAAGGGGUAAACAAGAGAAGCGACAGACUUCUCACUGCAGCAAAAGGCACUGGGGUUUACUUGUGAAACUUCACUCCUCCUCUUCCCCCAGUCUUAAAUUUAUAAAGCUGGUCCAGCUCCAAGAGAUGACCCAUGAUUUUAAAGUCAGAGUUCUGAGGACCAUAUUGGUCUUGCUGUGUUUUGGCACCCAGGGUUGGUGAUGUCCUGACUUAAAUUCCAGCUAACAGUGGAGACUAAGCCAGCCGACUGACUCCAGUGUCUAAUAUUAGUUGUAUUGUUACUAUUUUUAUUAAUAGCUAAGACUUAUGUAGUAUUCACCCCCAUCAGGCAUUGUAUUAAGCCUUUAACUGGCCCUCCCUAAUUCUUUGUCUUCACAGCAGGUCUCAGAAGUGGCUACCCUUUAUUUGACCCAUUUUAAAGAUGGGAAAAAUCAAGGUAUUUAGAGGUCCAAUAUCACAUAAGCAAUAAGAAAAAGAAUAAAGCUUUGAAGCUUUGAGCUCAGGUU